Sander lucioperca (pikeperch) is the source of this 365-nucleotide long non-coding RNA. RefSeq lists it as uncharacterized. Lineage: Eukaryota; Metazoa; Chordata; Actinopteri; Perciformes; Percidae. The transcript has 3 exons. The record is from RefSeq and is a predicted model, not a curated record.
UCUCACAGUCCACACAAAGACACAUGUCUGUACAUGGGAGCUCAUUCAAUUUGCAUGUGCAUCUCCCUUUGACACAUUGUGUUUUUUUACAGGAGCAGUACACAAGCUCCAAGAUGCCGACAGGGGCUGGGGGAAGUGUCAUCCAGUCAAUCACAAAGAAGUCUCCCUCAAUCUUCCAACCAUGGGCCAUUGGUGGGGGAACAUCAGGCUGACUCUUCAGGGACCUUCUGUAUAUGGCUGCCUGCAGAUCUGCAGAGAUGGCUUCUGAUGCUACCUGACCUGAUGUAACAUGCCAUGUACUUGACCUCCAUUGUGAUGGCUGCUCUCUCGUGCUGUGUCAAUGCCUGCUGCCUCUGUGCCACAAA